AACGCUAGCUACAGGCUUAACACAUGCAAGUCGAGGGGCAGCAUUGGAGUAGCAAUACUUCAGAUGGCGACCGGCGCACGGGUGAGUAACACGUAUCCAACCUGCCGCUUACUCGGGGAUAGCCUUUCGAAAGAAAGAUUAAUACCCGAUGGUAUAAAGAGUUCGCAUGUUCUCUUUAUUAAAGAAUUUCGGUAAGCGAUGGGGAUGCGUUCCAUUAGAUUGUUGGCGGGGUAACGGCCCACCAAGUCUACGAUGGAUAGGGGUUCUGAGAGGAAGGUCCCCCACAUUGGAACUGAGACACGGUCCAAACUCCUACGGGAGGCAGCAGUGAGGAAUAUUGGUCAAUGGACGUAAGUCUGAACCAGCCAAGUAGCGUGCAGGAUGACGGCCCUAUGGGUUGUAAACUGCUUUUAUGCGGGGAUAAAGUGAGGGACGCGUCCCUUUUUGCAGGUACCGCAUGAAUAAGGACCGGCUAAUUCCGUGCCAGCAGCCGCGGUAAUACGGAAGGUCCAGGCGUUAUCCGGAUUUAUUGGGUUUAAAGGGAGCGCAGGCGGUCUUAUAAGCGUGACGUGAAAUGCAGCGGCUCAACCGUAUGAUGUGCGUCGCGAACUGUGAGACUUGAGUGUAUUCGAUGUCAGCGGAAUUUGUGGUGUAGCGGUGAAAUGCUUAGAUAUCACGAAGAACUCCGAUUG
This 692-nucleotide ribosomal RNA is filed under the name uncultured bacterium. RNAcentral describes it as "bacterial SSU rRNA". It matches the Rfam family "Bacterial small subunit ribosomal RNA", at positions 32 to 715 of the family's 1533-position model. The record is from RNAcentral.